This 156-nucleotide ribosomal RNA is filed under the name Chytridiales sp. MP 059. RNAcentral's name for it is "5.8S ribosomal RNA". It matches the Rfam family "5.8S ribosomal RNA". From Rfam's summary of the family: 5.8S ribosomal RNA (5.8S rRNA) is a component of the large subunit of the eukaryotic ribosome. Lineage: Eukaryota; Fungi; Chytridiomycota; Chytridiomycetes; Chytridiales. The record is from RNAcentral.
AUACAACUUUUGACAACGGAUCUCUUGGCUCUCUCACCGAUGAAGAACGAACCGAAUUGAUUUAAAUAAUGUGAAUUGCUUUUUCUUUGAAUCAUCCAAUCUUUGAACGCAUAUUGCUCUCCUUGGUAUUCCUAGGAAGACGCCUGUUUGAUAACC